UACGCAGGGGGCUAGCGUUGUUCGGAUUUACUGGGCGUAAAGCGCACGUAGGCGGGUUGUUAAGUCAGGGGUGAAAUCCUGGAGCUCAACUCCAGAACUGCCUUUGAUACUGGCAACCUAGAGGCUGGAAGAGGUUAGUGGAAUUCCCAGUGUAGAGGUGAAAUUCGUAGAUAUUGGGAAGAACACCAGUGGCGAAGGCGGCUAACUGGUCCAGAUCUGACGCUGAGGUGCGAAAGCGUGGGGAGCAAACAGG
This 253-nucleotide ribosomal RNA is filed under the name uncultured bacterium. Its description in RNAcentral is "partial 16S ribosomal RNA". It matches the Rfam family "Bacterial small subunit ribosomal RNA", at positions 524 to 776 of the family's 1533-position model. The record is from RNAcentral.